Molecule: non-coding RNA, 7760 nt
Organism: Chrysemys picta bellii (western painted turtle)
Lineage: Eukaryota; Metazoa; Chordata; Testudines; Emydidae
Source: RefSeq, a predicted model, not a curated record
AAGCGGUAAAUGUGGAGUAAUCCAAGCUCUCGCCCUGGUGUGCUCGGGCAGCAGGGAGUUACCUGGGGCUGCUGGGCUCGUGGCUUUUCGGGUCCCAGCGGAACUCGCCCCAGCCUUCGGGGAGCGCUGCUGCCUUGAGAAAAGCGGGGGAAGCGCACGGGAAACCUGGCUGGUUGCAGGCUCCUGCCCCUGACCCGCGGUUCCCCUGGCCCGCCCCCCUGCGCCGGGAGCCACUGGCGGCGGCCGCGGCGGAAUUACCCGGAGGGGCCAGUGAAGUCUGCGGAGCGCCUGGGCAGGGCAGCGAGGCCGGGUCCGAGGGGAGAGGCAGCCCGGCGCGGCGGCGCUCCCCUCCGCUCCCUUCCCCCCUUCCCCGCCCGCCAGCGGCAGCCAGAGCUGCCUUUCCCCGCCUGCUGGUGGGUCCCAAGGCAGGAGGGGGAGAUGGGAUCCGCUCUGUGAGCCGCCCGGCUGGAGUCCCCGUUUCUAGCGGGCUUCGGGGAGCCGCCGCCGGGCUCGAGAGGAUCCCAGCGCCGCUGGCUGGCUGGCUCUUCCCCGGAGGAAUCUGCCCGGCUCUGCUUAGGUAAUUCUCUAAUGGAUCAAUGAAAACAAAACGAUGACAAGUUGUGGUCAACAGUCCUUGAAUGUGCUGAUGGUUGUGUUCUUAUUGCUCUUGUCAGCAGCAUUGUCUGCACAUUUUCGUGUCUGUGAGCCAUAUACAGACUACAAAGGCCGCUACCACUUUGGUUUUCACUGCCCACGCCUUUCUGACAAUAAAUCUUACAUCUUCUGCUGUCACCAUAACAACACAGUAUUUAAAUACUGCUGCAAUGAGACAGAAUUUCAGACUGUUAUGCAGAUGAACCUAACGGGGAAUGCAGAUGGAUAUAUGCAUAACAAUUACAGUGCGUUGUUAGGAGUGUGGAUCUAUGGCUUUUUUGUUGUGAUCUUGCUGGUACUGGACCUUUUAUAUUACUCAUCAAUGAACUACGAUAUUUGCAAGUUUUACCUGGCAAGGUGGGGAAUCCAGGGAAAGUGGAUGACACAGGCACAGAGCCGAUGGAUUAACCCUGCUCAGAAUCCAAGCCAAGUACAGACUCAGCCUCAGUCUCAGCCUCAGCCUCAAAUGUCACAGGCAGUACAUACUUUGAAAGGAGAUGCUUUAAACCCACCAUUGAUGUCUUUUCAGAGUUCAUCAGCCUGGAACCCGUUGUCUGCUGGUGGCCAGCUGCUUUGAGUCUUUCAUCUGACUCUACUGGACCUUUAUGGACUGUUUUUGUUGGACAGAAUUCAGAUCUGCCUAGAGUUUUCCCUGCUGGGCAGCAGCGAUUCAAUCUCCCACUAAGACCAGGUGUAUGGUAUCUAUUUCUCUCUAGCAGAGAUGAGUUUGAUCAGGAGAUCAUUGCAAGCAUCUGGACAGCAAUAUGUACUUAGAGAAUGGUGUAAGUAAUAUGCCUAGCACAAUAAGUUAUAGGCAUAUUCAACCCGCCCAUGGCUUCCAGGAGACCUAUCCCGGUAAACCCUUUGAGAUAGCUGACAUACAGGGGGUUGGAGCCCCUUGGGUCAGACUCGCCCACUAUUUGAGAAACUGCACUGCACUCAUAGCUCAGUGGUUUGAGCAUUGGCCUGCUAAACCCAGGGUUGUGAGUUCAAUCCUUGAGGGGGCCAUUUGGGGAUUGGUCCUGCUUUGAGCAGGGGGUUGGACUAGAUAUCCUGAAGCCCCUUCCAACCCUGAUAUUCUAUGCCUAUACAAACUUAGAGUAGGGAGGGAAAACUUGGGCAUUAGGGUUGCUGUUGGGGAAGGCCAAUGCACACAGAAAAACAAUUGUGUGCCUAACUGGUUACAAGACCGGAAUUUUGCACCCAACCAGGGCAGAGCACAGUUAAAAUUCACUGGUAUGUCUCAAAACAAGUAAGGUGGGGAUCGGAGGGAGGGACCAAAUCUGUCCCAUUGGCAUUAACAGGCAUAAAAUUAGAGUAAGUGAAAAAUCAGGCUCUUAAUAUUAAAGAGGCCUGCAAAUAUGAAAGACGAAAUUUAUAAAAAAUAACUUGUAAAACUGUCCUGGGCAUGGAAAUGCAUGGGAGGAGGUUUGGUAUAUUUAAUCACUAGACCUAAUAAGCUGCAACCUCGUGGGAUUCUUUUUUACAAGUUCAAGUGUCUUAAAAAGCAGUGCAAAUUCAACUCUGCAUGUUCACCACCCUUAAUGUAACAUAAGCUUGUUUUCUUGCAACUGGAGUUUCUAAUGUCAGAGAAAGCAAAGCCAGUAUUUCUAAAGUGUUACGGAGUUUAUUUAUUUAAAAUCUUGACUUCUUUUUUUCUUUAAUAUAUAUCAUGCAAGCGUAUUUGUGGACAAUAUUUUUCCUGUAUAAAGUAUUAAAAAAAAAAAACAGUGUGCCUGGAGUGCCUUGUGAAGCAUAAGGCUAAUGGGCAAUAGCUGCAGGGGUUUGUUCUGUGAACUGCGUGGUAUUUCAUUUUACCCCUCUCUUUGCCUCUCCAUCAAACUGGGACUGCUGCAUUCAGCAGCAUUUCACUCACAGCCAGGUCCAUUUGUUACUUUGCGUUAAAAGCCUUCUGUGAUUAAACUAAAUACCAAUGUGGCCAUCUGCUUGUGAAGUAUUGUCAGAAAAUAGCAACUCAGAUAUUUUAAAAGGACAAUUAAAGUCUGUUCCUGCCUAUGCAGACUGGGGGGAAAAUAAUAAAUAUAGUGGAAAUCAAGUUUGACCACCACCCACACUUGCACUUUAUAUAGUAUUUCCAGCAGGUGUCUUAUGGCCUGAGUGUGAGCUUGGAUACACUGGUAUGAAUCACAAGUAGCUAUUGUAUUAAUUGGAGUUAUGAUUAAUGUGAAAUCAGAGUCAAGUCCAAUUGAGUCUACAGCUGGAUUGCAGUUGGGUCUUUUUUGUAAUGUCAUAUCCAUGUUUAAUUACCCACACAGGAACGAGGUGUCUGUCAUUACUAACCUCAUCACCAAAUGUUUCACUAUCUCCAUUAGAUAAAAGCCAUUUACCUUCUAAUUAUUGUCUGAAACAUACCAAGAGUUGCAGCACCCAGUGCAUCUUACAGCCAGUGUAGUUUGGUUGCUAGCACUUUUUCCUACCCAUCUUGCUGGGACCCAGACACUAAAUAGUUCUUUAGAGGCACAUAUGUCUCUUUGAAGUUCUACUUCACAUAGAAUAACAAAAUUGGAAGCUGUUUGAAACUCCAAAUUUUGCUGCUUAAAUGUCACAGUAAAACUUGAAAUCAAGCCCAGCCACUUCAAGUACAGCUGAGUGCAACAACUGAACUUCAAAGAAAAGACCCACAUACCUCUUUCAGUUUGGCCAUUGAUCUCAAUAGCACUUCAAAGAUGUCCUGGUUGGCUGAUUUCAAUUUCAUUUUGCAUUUAAAAAGCUAAAAUCAGGCAUUGACAAUCACUCCCAAUUUAGCCUUUGUAAAUACAGACUCAACUGGAAAUCAGAGUAGCUGCCUCUGAAGUGCUAUUGAGCGGGAGCACAUCGAGAGCAUCAAAGAGAAAUACUAAGGCACUGGAUUGCUCCCAAAAUUUACAUUGGAUUGUGUAGCCUCAAAUUGCUGAAUCAAAUUGAACCUAAAUUAGCAGUGACCAAAAACUUACUGUUGGCAUAGGAUUAGAUGGCCAGUGCUAAGCCAGCGGGCAACCUUAGCGAUGUCCGCUGUUAUAGGGGACACCCUUGCUCACAUUCUCAAGAGAAGCCAAGGACUGAAUGAAUACAGAGACUGUACCAACUUCUCACCUCUAAAGGGGACCCCUCCUGACAUUGGUGUAGUUGCGUGAAGGUGUUUGCCCUGCUGCUGCCAGUGUGUACCCAAUUUACGAACGGAGUACUUCCGUCUCCAGGACCAUCAGUUCUAAGCUUCUCCCAAGCAGUAAAUAAACUUGUUAAAAAUGUGCGCGUGCGCACCCACACACCCGAGAGAGAGAUGCAGUCAUAACUAGAGAGAGUUGAAUUUUUUCCCCAUCAAAACUGUUUUUGAUGUAAAAUUGUGUUCACAGCUAAACAAAUUUUCAGGCAAAGAUUUACAGUUAUUGAGUUUUUAAUUUUUUUCAACAAAGUGAAAAUAUUUCACAGGAAAAAGCCCCUCAUUCCUGACCAGCUCUACUUACAGCUUCUCGAUUAUGAUGACAAUGUUUGGAUGACCCAGCCAAAGUAAGGGCCAAUUGUGACACUGACACACAGUCUAAACAAAAAUCCUUCGGAACUGAAAAAAAUCAACGUGUUUCACAUUUUGAAAAUGUUUAAUCUUGGAUUUAUUUUCAUUCAGCAAAACUGACACAUUCGCAAAAUGUUUAGGUGUCAAAGCCUUUCCCCCCCCCCCCCAAAAAAAAGUGUUGACAGAAAAGUUUCUCUCGGCUCUUCUGCCCUAUCAAAUGCAGGAAGAGAUCAGAGUAACAGAAAGACUCAUAAGUUAGGGGGGCUCAAGUGGGUUUGGGUUUUUUUAAAUCAGCUAGCCCCAACUGAAGCCCAACCAAACUGUCAUUGACCCACCUUGUCAAAGCUCAAAAAUCACGAAAGAAAACUAGUUGAUCUUAUAUCCCUAUGGACACAGUCUCAUUUUUCUAACCUAAGUGUUAAACCCUGAGUAACUCCAUUGAAGAAAGAGAAGUUACUUGAGGGAAUACACCAGUGCUGAUGAUUUAAUUAAUUCUGACAGCUUGCCCUCAGCAUCCACUUCUGCAGUAAUUUUUCUAGCACUUUUCGCUUUCCAUUUCUAAUUAGACAACUUAAAUCCUAUGUGUUACUGUGUGACCCAGCUCCUGAGAUUAGGGUCACCAGAUAGCCCGAUUUUAUAGGGACAGUCCCAAUAUUCAGGGUAUUGUCUUAUACAGGCGCCUAUUACCCCCCCCAUGCCCCUGUCCCUAUUCUUCACACUUUCUGUCUGAACACCCUACUCGAGAGAUCUUUUAAAUGAGAAUGAAAAGUAGAAAUUGGCGCUGAGUUGGGAAAACACACCAGCAAGGCUGCUGACUGAAAGAAGCAGAUGGAAUGUUUGCAGUGGAAUUGCAGAAAAAGUUGAGGCCAACUAAGGUUGAGGGGGAAAGAGUUAAAUAUAUUUACAAAAUAUAAUCAACGUUCAUUUAAAAUAAUAGGCAGCGAGCAAUACAUUUAUCAACAAGAUGAUGUAGCUUUCUGUAAUCAACUGUGUAUCAUAGUAGAAAGAUAUAUUGCAUAAAUUGGGAAAAUAAAUUUAAAAUUAAAAACCAAUAUUUAAACAAAGAGCCAUAUUAUAAUAGAACACCUUUUCAGCCAUGUUUUAGGGCUUGAUCUUGCAAAGUGCUGUGCAUUUGGCCUUGAUCCAAUAAAGCACUUAUGCACAUAUGUAACUUAAACACACACACUUACCUUUAUGCAUGAGAAAUUAAUUAAUCAAUACAACUAUUCGUGUGGUUAAGGGUUUUGCUGGGUCUGAUCUAUUAUGCUCAGCACCCUACAAGAUCAAGCCCUUAGGGCAUUCUCCUGAAAAGGACCCUGGUCCAUCUGCAGAAAUGGAAACAAUGUUUCUUUAACAAAGGUCUCAAGGGGUUGGCACACAAGGUUGUUCACAAGUAAUUUGAGAUGUGUACUAAUGGAACAUUCAAGCACAGUACUGAGCCAGAUUCUAUUCUUGCUUGCAUUGGAGUAAUUACUCCUUGCACUAUAGAGUGGUGCUGCAAGGGAGAGCAGAAACAAACCCAAAAUACAGUCAUGCUUUAUUGCUGUUUAAAUUCAUUACUAUAAUGUAGGGCAAUUUAAAGUAGUAAUUACAUCUGUGAUUCAUCAAAAACUAAACAAAUUAAAUAAUCACUAAACAUUUCUAUUAAGCGUGCCUUAGUAAUAUCAGCUUUAUGCAAUGUCAUCAGAGCUGAUGUUUGUCCCAGGAUCUGAGUAACACCAGGUGGGUGAGAUACCAUCUUUUAUGGGACCAACUUCUGAAGAAGAGCUCUGGGUAAGCUUGAAAGCUUGUCUCUUUCACCAACAGAAGUUGGUCCCAUAAAAGAUAUUACUGUACUUCACCCACCUGGUCUCUCAUCAGUUUUAAUCAUUUUGAGCAGACUCCGAGCACGCGAGUUCUUUUCCGUUGUUUCUUCAGCUUUUCAUCUCUCAACAAAGAUGUUGCGAGUCACAAGGAAACUUGUUGAAUAUGGUCCAUUUUUGCACUUUGAAUCGUAAUAGUACAUCUCAGCCCAAUUUUAACAGAAAAUAAGCCCAUCUUGAGGAGAUUUUGUUUUGAAACUGUCAGGCCUUUGCCGUCGCUGAAAAUGUCUCCAGCAGAUGAAGAUAAAUUUGAAUUAGAUCAACAAAAAUGCUCAUCAACAAGACUGAAAUCACCUAGAACAAUGCUUGUCUAUCGGUAUUUUCACGGCAUCAUUUCAAAUAAAUUGCAUGAGAAAAUAUGUGACUGCUGAAUAAUCUCUCUCAAACUCUGCAGCAGUAAUAUGUUGUGACUAAAUGAACUGUACUAUUUUCUGUGAACAAGUGAGCCAAAAUAAAAUCACUGACAAGUCUUCAGCUGCAAAUACAACCUAAUUGUGGUGAUGUUUGAAACAAAAUCACUUAAGGCCAAAUUCUGCUACCACACUAAGGCUGGUGGGACCUCUUAGUCUGGGUUCAAGAAGACUACUCCAGAGUAAGGUAUUGCUCAGUUUAUGGCAAAGUCCAUUAAUCAUACUAAACACAUACCUAGAGAUGAUGUAAGCCAUAGGUUUUUGUAGGUGAAAAGUGCUAUAUGACGUAUUGUUAUAGCUGGAGCAGUAGUGACACCUGUUCCCAACCCCUUUCUAUUAUAAAUUCCUUUAUGUAACUUGGGCAAAUUUUACCCAGUCGGACUGAAAUUUUGAAGGUUUGGUCAGUGCUUCAGGUUGGAUUUUUUGGGAAAAUUUGACCAAAAAUGGUUCAGCCAUUUUAUAGAACAAGGUUAGUAAGAAACAGGUGAUUUUGCAAAUGUUAAUUAUUUUCCUUACUUUUUUAUUCCAGCUUUAGCACCAACAGAGUUUGGAGCAGGAACUUUAAAGCUAUCUAUUAGGUACUGAUAUACCCCCCAUUACUGUUGUUGGAGCACCUCACAACACUCUCGUGAUAUAGGAAAGUGCUAUUUAUUCUCACUUUACAGAUGGAGCAUGGAAGAACAGACAAAUAGAGCUUCUAAGAAAAUUAUAAUGAUGUGCCUCAAGAUGGGAGAGGUAAGUUUAGAAUGCAGCGAGCAGCUUUCAAGAGCGAACUAUCCAAGUGAAUGACAGACAAACAAACAAACAAAGAUGACACCGCCAGAUGGAGUUUGGUCAAGACAUCUGACAAUCACCUCCUAUCAACUUACAAAAACAAUGUUGAAAGAGUUCAGAAAACCGUCUGUAAGCAAUAUUUUAAUUCUAGGUCAAGAUUAUUAUUUUGAAAGGAGACAUCGUAUUUGAUGGAAAGCUCAAUACAGCGAAAUGCAAGUUGCUCUUGCAAGAUCCAAGCCAAGGUAGACAAGGACAACAAGACAAACCUUUGGCAGAUCAACUUUCUUUGCCUCCCCAUCCAUCAAUUGCCAUUUGAGCCUAAUCUGUGUCAGAAUACUGAAUGUGAGUUAUUCCAAAGUUCUCUGGUGAACAUUAUGUCACAAUAGGGUAGAUGCUGACAUUCUCAGUCACUGUUCCCACAACAUCACACUUCACAAUACAAAGGGACCCCUCAUCCAAUUAGAGUGCAGGGUAGUAGUCAUUUCAGUCCCUGAUUCUGGUCAUUUUAUUCACAGCAAUGAGACUGGCAUGAUAUCAUCAAAUUCCUGA